This 520-nucleotide ribosomal RNA is filed under the name uncultured Glomeromycotina. RNAcentral's name for it is "SSU rRNA". It matches the Rfam family "Eukaryotic small subunit ribosomal RNA", at positions 569 to 1094 of the family's 1831-position model. Lineage: Eukaryota; Fungi; Glomeromycota. The record is from RNAcentral.
AGCAGCCGCGGUAAUUCCAGCUCCAAUAGCGUAUAUUAAAGUUGUUGCAGUUAAAAAGCUCGUAGUUGAAUUUCGGGGUUCUACCGUUGGUCGGGCUAACCAGUCUGUACUAGCGUGUAGAAUUCCUACCUUCUGGGGAACCAUCAUGUUAUUAAUUUAGCGUGGUGGGAAACCAGGACCUUUACCUUGAAAAAUUAGAGUGUUCAAAGCAGGCUUACGUCUGAAUACAUUAGCAUGGAAUAAUAGAAUAGGACGGUGGUCCUGUUUUGCUGGUUUCUGAAUCACCGUAAUGAUUAAUAGGGAUAGUUGGGGGCAUUAGUAUUCAAUUGUCAGAGGUGAAAUUCUUGGAUUUAUUGAAGACUAACUUCUGCGAAAGCAUUUGCCAAGGAUGUUUUCAUUAAUCAAGAACGAAAGUUAGGGGAUCGAAGACGAUCAGAUACCGUCGUAGUCUUAACCAUAAACUAUGCCGACUAGGGAUCGGACGAUGUUAAAUUUAUUGACUCGUUCGGCGCCUUACGGG